This 556-nucleotide long non-coding RNA is filed under the name Micromonas commoda. RNAcentral describes it as "long non-coding RNA (MCOM_LNC000205)". Lineage: Eukaryota; Viridiplantae; Chlorophyta; Mamiellophyceae; Mamiellales; Mamiellaceae. The record is from RNAcentral.
GUGAUCAGAGGUAUAGCCAGCUCAUAAGAUUUUCUGGAAAUAACUUAAAGUCGCAAACUCGGAUCGGAAACCCCACGUUUUCCGGGCGCUCAGUUUUCACAUUUUCCCGCCGAGCGCUUUUUCACGUGGAUCGAGUCACGACUGGUCCUUUUCGAUCCCUUUUUUUUCACGAGAUCUUUUCCCCAGCUUUUCGCGGCGCCGAUCCUGCGGGUCUCGCCAGUCUCUGACACACCGCGGACCUCCCGCGCACCCACCACGAACAGAACACCAUGUCUGCCGCCACCACCGCCAUCACCGUGCGCCCCGUCCUCGCGGGCAAGCGCGUGUGCGAGGACUGCUUCAGGGGGAACGCGAAGGACAGGCCGAGCUUCCUCGAGAUUUAGAAACGGCUGAGACCGAUGCAGGCGAUGAUCACCAGGCCGGGUAGCGGCAACGGCGGCGCGGCGUUGGGGGGCUCUCCGGCUCAGUUCUCGGACUCAAAGCCGCCCGCGUCGCCGAGCGAACCGGAGAAGCCUCCGCGCGCUCCGCCGCCGAAGGACGAGUACCCCAUCCUCCC